RNAcentral lists this ribosomal RNA (253 nucleotides) under uncultured bacterium. RNAcentral's name for it is "partial 16S ribosomal RNA". It matches the Rfam family "Bacterial small subunit ribosomal RNA", at positions 524 to 776 of the family's 1533-position model. The record is from RNAcentral.
UACGGAGGGUGCAAGCGUUAUUCGGAUUUAUUGGGCGUAAAGGGCGUGUAGGUGGUCUGAUAAGUCAGGUGUGAAAGCCCUUGGCUUAACCAAGGAAGUGCAUUUGAAACUAUCAGACUUGAGUACGGGAGGGGGAAGUGGAAUUCCUGGUGUAGAGGUGAAAUUCGUAGAUAUCAGGAGGAAUACCGGUGGCGAAGGCGACUUCCUGGACCGAUACUGACACUGAGACGCGAAAGCGUGGGGAGCAAACAGG